Non-coding RNA from Ascosphaera aggregata, 91 nucleotides. The record is from the annotation of a GenBank genome assembly. Lineage: Eukaryota; Fungi; Ascomycota; Eurotiomycetes; Onygenales; Ascosphaeraceae.
GCCUCCAUGGUCUAGUUGGUUAUUACGCCGAUCUCAUAUGUUCACACAUCCAAGUUAUUGGAGGUCCGGGGUUCCAUCCUCAGUAGGGGCA